RNAcentral lists this non-coding RNA (101 nucleotides) under Desulfuromonas sp. Its description in RNAcentral is "c-di-GMP sequence". It matches the Rfam family "c-di-GMP-I-GGC riboswitch aptamer". The record is from RNAcentral. Lineage: Bacteria; Pseudomonadati; Thermodesulfobacteriota; Desulfuromonadia; Desulfuromonadales; Desulfuromonadaceae. RNAcentral also lists the same sequence under 1 other name.
AGCGACAACGGCAAACCCGGAGAAAUCCGGCGACGCAAAGCCACGGGUCCUCGUCAACCUGAACAUUGGUGCAGGUGGAACGGAUAGCCGGGUUACCGAAG